Molecule: ribosomal RNA, 253 nt
Filed under: uncultured bacterium
Lineage: Bacteria
Description: partial 16S ribosomal RNA
Rfam family: Bacterial small subunit ribosomal RNA
Source: RNAcentral
UACGUAGGGUGCAAGCGUUGUCCGGAAUUAUUGGGCGUAAAGAGCUCGUAGGCGGUUUGUCGCGUCUGCUGUGAAAACUCAGGGCUUAACCCUGAGCUUGCAGUGGGUACGGGCAGACUAGAGUGCGGUAGGGGAGACUGGAAUUCCUGGUGUAGCGGUGAAAUGCGUAGAUAUCAGGAGGAACACCGAUGGCGAAGGCAGGUCUCUGGGCUGACACUGACGCUCAUGCACGAAAGCGUGGGGAGCAAACAGG